ACGAACGCUGGCGGCGUGCUUAACACAUGCCAGUCGAACGGAAAGGCCCUGCUUUUGUGGGGUGCUCGAGUGGCGAACGGGUGAGUAACACGUGAGUAACCUGCCCUUGACUUUGGGAUAACUUCAGGAAACUGGGGCUAAUACCGGAUAGGAGCUCCUGCUGCAUGGUGGGGGCUGGAAAGUUUCGGCGGUUGGGGAUGGACUCGCGGCCUAUCAGCUUAGUGGUGGGGUAGUGGCUUACCAAGGCUUUGACUGGUAGCCGGGCUGAGAGGGUGACCGGACCAGUUUGGACCGAAGUACGGCCCAGACUCCUACGGGAGGCAGCAGUGGGGAAUAUUGCACAAUGGGCGGAAGCCUGAUGCAGCAACGCCGCGUGCGGGAUAACGGCCUUCGGGUUGUAAACCGCUUUCGCCUGUGACGAAGAGUGAGUGACGGUAAUGGGUAAAGAAGCACCGGCUAACUACGUG
This 467-nucleotide ribosomal RNA is filed under the name uncultured bacterium. RNAcentral describes it as "partial 16S ribosomal RNA". It matches the Rfam family "Bacterial small subunit ribosomal RNA", at positions 29 to 507 of the family's 1533-position model. The record is from RNAcentral.